GCGUGUGUGAUGAAGGCCUUAGGGUUGUAAAGCACUUUCGCCGAUGAAGAUAAUGACUGUAGUCGGAGAAGAAGCCCCGGCUAACUUCGUGCCAGCAGCCGCGGUAAUACGAAGGGGGCUAGCGUUGUUCGGAAUUACUGGGCGUAAAGCGUACGUAGGCGGAUUGUUAAGUGAGGGGUGAAAUCCCGAGGCUCAACCUCGGAACUGCCUUUCAUACUGGCAAUCUUGAGUCCGGGAGAGGUGAGUGGAACUCCUAGUGUAGAGGUGAAAUUCGU
RNAcentral lists this ribosomal RNA (275 nucleotides) under uncultured bacterium. RNAcentral's name for it is "partial 16S ribosomal RNA". It matches the Rfam family "Bacterial small subunit ribosomal RNA", at positions 399 to 691 of the family's 1533-position model. The record is from RNAcentral.